RNAcentral lists this ribosomal RNA (608 nucleotides) under Desulfovibrio sp. PR4_D12. RNAcentral's name for it is "bacterial SSU rRNA". It matches the Rfam family "Bacterial small subunit ribosomal RNA", at positions 149 to 737 of the family's 1533-position model. The record is from RNAcentral. Lineage: Bacteria; Pseudomonadati; Thermodesulfobacteriota; Desulfovibrionia; Desulfovibrionales; Desulfovibrionaceae.
GUUGGAAACGACUGCUAAUACCGUAUAAUCUGCAUAUUUAACUUUAUGUGGGAAAGGUGGCCUCUAUUUAUAAGCUACCGCUUUAGGAUGAGUCCGCGUCUCAUUAGCUUGUUGGUGGGGUAAUGGCCUACCAAGGCAACGAUGAGUAGCUGGUCUGAGAGGAUGAUCAGCCACACUGGGACUGAAACACGGCCCAGACUCCUACGGGAGGCAGCAGUGGGGAAUAUUGCGCAAUGGGGGAAACCCUGACGCAGCGACGCCGCGUGUAGGAAGAAGGCCUUCGGGUCGUAAACUACUGUCAAGAGGGAAGAAACUGUUAGGCAUUAAUACGGCCUUUCACUGACGGUACCUCUAGAGGAAGCACCGGCUAACUCCGUGCCAGCAGCCGCGGUAAUACGGAGGGUGCAAGCGUUAAUCGGAAUCACUGGGCGUAAAGCGUGCGUAGGCGGCGCAACAAGUCAGACGUGAAAGCCCUCGGCUCAACCGAGGAAUUGCGUUUGAAACUGUUGUGCUAGAGUCUCGGAGAGGUUGGCGGAAUUCCAGGUGUAGGAGUGAAAUCCGUAGAUAUCUGGAGGAACACCGGUGGCGAAGGCGGCCAACUGGACGAG